Molecule: ribosomal RNA, 460 nt
Filed under: uncultured bacterium
Lineage: Bacteria
Description: partial 16S ribosomal RNA
Rfam family: Bacterial small subunit ribosomal RNA
Source: RNAcentral
CCUACGGGUGGCAGCAGUGAGGAAUAUUGGUCAAUGGGCUUACGCCUGAACCAGCCAAGUCGCGUGAGGGAAGACUGCCCUAUGGGUUGUAAACUUCUUUUGUCAGGGAGCAACGCCGGCUACGUGUAGCCGGACUGAGAGUACCUGAAGAAAAAGCAUCGGCUAACUCCGUGCCGGCAGCCGCGGUAAUACGGAGGAUGCGGGCGUUAUCCGGAUUUAUUGGGUUUAAAGGGUGCGUAGGCGGAAUGCCAAGUCAGCGGUAAAAUCGCGGGGCUCAACCUCGCUCCGCCGUUGAAACUGGCGUGCUUGAGUGGGCGGGAAGCAUGCGGAAUGCGUGGUGUAGCGGUGAAAUGCAUAGAUAUGACGCAGAACUCCGAUUGCGAAGGCAGCAUACCGGCGCCCAACUGACGCUGAAGCACGAAAGCGUGGGUAUCGAACAGGAUUAGAUACCCGAGUAGUC